RNAcentral lists this microRNA (21 nucleotides) under Scyliorhinus torazame (cloudy catshark). RNAcentral's name for it is "Sto-Mir-551-P2_3p (mature (guide))". The record is from RNAcentral. Lineage: Eukaryota; Metazoa; Chordata; Chondrichthyes; Carcharhiniformes; Scyliorhinidae.
GCGACCCAUACUUGGUUUCCG